UACGAAGGGUGCAAGCGUUAAUCGGAAUUACUGGGCGUAAAGCGUGCGUAGGCGGUUUGUUAAGUCUGCUGUGAAAUCCCCCGGGCUCAACCUGGGAAUGGCAGUGGAUACUGGCAAGCUAGAGUGUGUCAGAGGAUGGUGGAAUUCCCGGUGUAGCGGUGAAAUGCGUAGAGAUCGGGAGGAACAUCAGUGGCGAAGGCGGCCAUCUGGGACAACACUGACGCUGAGGCACGAAAGCGUGGGGAG
RNAcentral lists this ribosomal RNA (246 nucleotides) under uncultured bacterium. Its description in RNAcentral is "partial 16S ribosomal RNA". It matches the Rfam family "Bacterial small subunit ribosomal RNA", at positions 524 to 768 of the family's 1533-position model. The record is from RNAcentral.